Molecule: transfer RNA, 72 nt
Filed under: Ictidomys tridecemlineatus (thirteen-lined ground squirrel)
Lineage: Eukaryota; Metazoa; Chordata; Mammalia; Rodentia; Sciuridae
Description: Spermophilus tridecemlineatus (thirteen-lined ground squirrel) tRNA
Rfam family: tRNA
About the family: Transfer RNA (tRNA) molecules are approximately 80 nucleotides in length. Their secondary structure includes four short double-helical elements and three loops (D, anti-codon, and T loops).
Source: Rfam by way of RNAcentral
GGGGGUAUAGAUAAGUUAUAGAGUACUUGCUUGGUAUGUGAAAGGUCCUGGGUUCAAUCCCCAGUACUACCA